UCAUGUGACAUGCCUGCUUCCCCUUUGCCUUCCACCGCAAUUGUAAGGUUCCUGAGGCCCUCGCCAGAAACCAAGCAGGUGUUGGUGCCAUGCUUGUACAGCCUGCGGAAUCGCUCCCACAGAACAUGGAUGACCGCCAUCACACUGUUUAUGAUGAGUAUUGCACUUGACUGGUCAUUUGUCAUCCUUAUAAUGUGCAGAGUGCCUUGGACUGACAAACUGAAAUACAUUUUGAUUAGGCAACAUGAGCAGAAGGAGUGUGGGGAGAGGACUGUAUAAAUCUGUUUUACUCAACCUUGAAGAAAUGUUAAGUGUUAAUUCCCUGCAUCAAAUAAAGUACACCAAGUAUAUAUGCAGCGUUCCUGAGAGCUUCCUAAUGAACUGAAAAAACAAACAAUCUG
Molecule: long non-coding RNA, 401 nt
Filed under: Pongo abelii (Sumatran orangutan)
Lineage: Eukaryota; Metazoa; Chordata; Mammalia; Primates; Hominidae
Description: lincRNA
Source: RNAcentral